UCGUCAGCUCGCGUCGUGAGAUGUUGGGUUAAGUCCCGCAACGAGCGCAACCCCUAUUGUUAGUUGCUACCAUUAAGUUGAGCAUUCUAGCGAGACUGCCUGGGUUAACCAGGAGGAAGGUGGGGAUGACGUCAAAUCAUCAUGCCCCUUAUGUGUAGGGCUACACACGUGCUACAAUGGCAAGUACAGAGAGACGCAAAACCGUGAGGUCGAGCAAAUCCCUUAAAACUUGUCCCAGUUCGGAUUGUAGGCUGAAACUCGCCUACAUGAAGCCGGAGUUGCUAGUAAUCGCGAAUCAGAAUGUCGCGGUGAAUACGUUCCCGGGUCUUGUACACACCGCCCGUCACACCAUGAGAGUUGGCAAUACCCAACGUCCGUGAGCUAACCGCAAGGAGGCAGCGGCCUAAGGUAGGGUCAGCGAUUGGGGUGAAGUCGUAACAAGGUAGCCGUA
This 451-nucleotide ribosomal RNA is filed under the name uncultured bacterium. RNAcentral's name for it is "bacterial SSU rRNA". It matches the Rfam family "Bacterial small subunit ribosomal RNA", at positions 1052 to 1504 of the family's 1533-position model. The record is from RNAcentral.